AUACGUAUGGGGCAAGCGUUAUCCGGAUUCAUUGGGCGUAAAGCGCGUGUAGGCGGCUUGUUAAGUCAGAUGUGAAAACCGGGGGCUUAACCCGCGGCGUGCAUCUGAAACUGGCAGGCUUGAGUCUGGUAGAGGAAAGUGGAAUUCCUAGUGUAGCGGUGAAAUGAGCAGAUAUUAGGAAGAACACCAGUGGCGAAGGCGGCUUUCUGGGCCACGACUGACGCUGAGACGCGAAAGCUAGGGGAGCAAACAGGAUUAGAUACCCCGGUAGUCC
This 274-nucleotide ribosomal RNA is filed under the name uncultured bacterium. RNAcentral's name for it is "partial 16S ribosomal RNA". It matches the Rfam family "Bacterial small subunit ribosomal RNA", at positions 523 to 796 of the family's 1533-position model. The record is from RNAcentral.